UCCCUGGUGGCUCAGACGGUAAAGAAUCCGCCUGCAGUGUGGGAGACCUGGGUUCGAUCCCCGGGUGGGGAA
This 72-nucleotide transfer RNA is filed under the name Ovis aries (sheep). It matches the Rfam family "tRNA". From Rfam's summary of the family: Transfer RNA (tRNA) molecules are approximately 80 nucleotides in length. Their secondary structure includes four short double-helical elements and three loops (D, anti-codon, and T loops). Further hydrogen bonds mediate the characteristic L-shaped molecular structure. tRNAs have two regions of fundamental functional importance: the anti-codon, which is responsible for specific mRNA codon recognition, and the 3' end, to which the tRNAs corresponding amino acid is attached (by aminoacyl-tRNA synthetases). tRNAs cope with the degeneracy of the genetic code in two manners: having more than one tRNA (with a specific anti-codon) for a particular amino acid; and 'wobble' base-pairing, i.e. permitting non-standard base-pairing at the 3rd anti-codon position. The record is from Rfam by way of RNAcentral. Lineage: Eukaryota; Metazoa; Chordata; Mammalia; Artiodactyla; Bovidae.